UGGUAUGAUAAAAUAAUAGAGUUUUUGCUCCAAAGUGGAUAUUACAUCACAUCAUUUGACUCAAGCCUGUUUGUUAAGGUAUGUGAUAGAAAACUAGCAAUUGUGCUAGUUUAUGUAGAUGAUUUGAUCAUCAUCGGAGAACAUGCAAGAGAUCUGCCAAACAAGAGAAAAUCUAUCAAUCCGUUUUCAGAUAAAGGAGCUCAAAGAGCUUAAACUUUUUCUUGGGCUCGAGG
RNAcentral lists this long non-coding RNA (233 nucleotides) under Elaeis guineensis (African oil palm). RNAcentral describes it as "long non-coding RNA (EGUI_LNC004802)". Lineage: Eukaryota; Viridiplantae; Streptophyta; Magnoliopsida; Arecales; Arecaceae. The record is from RNAcentral.